GUUAAUAGUACACAGCCUUGACGUUACCAACAGAAGAAGCACCGGCUAACUCUGUGCCAGCAGCCGCGGUAAUACAGAGGGUGCAAGCGUUAAUCGGAAUUACUGGGCGUAAAGCGCACGUAGGCGGUUUUUUAAGUCAGAUGUGAAAGCCCCGGGCUCAACCUGGGAAUUGCAUUUGAAACUGGAAAACUAGAGUGUGUGAGAGGGGGGUAGAAUUCCAAGUGUAGCGGUGAAUGCGUAGAGUUUUGGAGGAAUACCAGUGGCGAAGGCGGCCCCCUGGCACAACACUGACGCUCAGGUGCGAAAGCGUGGGGAGCAAACAGGAUUAGAUACCCUGGUAGUCCACGCCGUAAACGAUGUGUACUAGCUGUUCGUGACCUUGUGUCGUGAGUAGCGCAGCUAACGCACUAAGUAGACCGCCUGGGGAGUACCNGUCGCAAGAUUAAAACUCAAAUGAAUUGACGGGGGCCCGCACAAGCGGUGGAGCAUGUGGUUUAAUACGACGCAACGCGAAGAACCUUACCUACUCUUGACAUCCAGAGAAGACUGCAGAGAUGCGGUUGUGCCUUCGGGAACUCUGAGACAGGUGCUGCAUGGCUGUCGUCAGCUCGUGUUGUGAAAUGUUGGGUUAAGUCCCGCAACGAGCGCAACCCUUAUCCUUAGUUGCCAGCACGUAAUGGUGGGAACUCUAGGGAGACUGCCGGUGAUAAACCGGAGGAAGGUGGGGACGACGUCAAGUCAUCAUGGCCCUUACGAGUAGGGCUACACACGUGCUACAAUGGUAUGUACAGAGGGAGGCAAGCUGGCGACAGUGAGCGGAUCUCUUAAAGCAUAUCGUAGUCCGGAUCGCAGUCUGCAACUCGACUGCGUGAAGUCGGAAUCGCUAGUAAUCGCAAAUCAGAAUGUUGCGGUGAAUACG
This 919-nucleotide ribosomal RNA is filed under the name uncultured Rheinheimera sp. Its description in RNAcentral is "bacterial SSU rRNA". It matches the Rfam family "Bacterial small subunit ribosomal RNA", at positions 453 to 1370 of the family's 1533-position model. The record is from RNAcentral. Lineage: Bacteria; Pseudomonadati; Pseudomonadota; Gammaproteobacteria; Chromatiales; Chromatiaceae.